Chrysemys picta bellii (western painted turtle) is the source of this 1771-nucleotide non-coding RNA. The record is from RefSeq and is a predicted model, not a curated record. Lineage: Eukaryota; Metazoa; Chordata; Testudines; Emydidae.
GAAAGAGACCUUCUAAAAAAGUUAAAAUGUAUUAACGGGCACGCGAAACCUUAAAUUAGAGUGAAUAAAUGAAGACUUGGCACACCACUUCUGAAAGGUUGCCGACCCCUGCUCUAUAGCCACUACUAUAUCUUCCUAGUCUACAGUCCAGUACAUAGUUCAGGUACUACCAUUGUGCAGAGGGAAAUGGCCAAUAAAUUUGGCAGCCCUGAUUUCAGUUGAGUGCUUACUGUGUAUUGUUAUAUUGUGUAGAUGUUUAAUGUGUAAUAUUUAAAUAUUUUUAUUCUGGUUUUGUCUUCAACUCUCUUGGCCACAGAUCUUUCCUUCCAGAGCAAAGUGUAGAACACACUUCAGGUUAGCUUUUCCACAACAAGGGAAAAAGAUAGACGGGAUAAAUAAAGAGGUGGCUCACUAGAUCAUCUUACUAACGGAAAUUCAUACAUGAUCAUCUUGGCGCUGAGAUAUGGUGAUAGAUGUGAAACCAGAACCCUGCAAGGGCAUAGGGUUAACAUGCUAUAUAAAUGCAACGAUUACAGGAAAACCCCAAAGAUAAGUGAGAACAGCGAGGAAAAUGAUCAAACUGACCACUUUUCUAAUGAGAAACUUGGAAACAAAAGCAUGUGUGCGCGCGUGCUCAAGUCUGUUAAGUUGUUAUAAUUGUAAAGAGGAAAGAUAAUAUAGACUGUCAUCUGCAUCUGUGAUUCCUGUGAGCUUGUGGGGUGGUUGUUGUCUUCUAUUGCCCCAAGAUGGAUGGCAGAUGUUUGGGGUUAGUAAGGUUUGCAUAAGGGAGAGAAAAGUGCUGUAUAAACUGUUAGCUACAAAGCAGCAUAGGGAUACAUCAAAUGCAUCUAAUAUUUCACUUAGAACUUGCCUCCGAAGUUUACUUUGUCAUCAAUUCAGAUAUUUGCUUUUGGGCUAAAUUUUGUUUGUAUGAAAUUAAUCUCUCAAAUUAAUAAACAUCUGCUCCUUCCUUUGUAUUUUGUUCAGUAGAGCAAAACUGACAUUUUAAUGGAGGUUUCAUCAGACAGGAGAAUUGAUUAUUCAAAAUGUUUCAGAAUACAAUCCACUUUUUCCUCAUCUGUACAAAACAAUCGUAAUUUAAUGGAUCUGUUUAAAGCAGACACACUUGGUCUCAGUUUACAAAUGAAAUGCACUAAAUUGUUUGGGUUUUGUGUAUUUUAGCGACUACAAAUCCUGACAUUCACUGAAGUCAACAGGAAAGCUCCCUGCCAGAAUUUUUUCCUGACUCUGUGCUUUAUGCCUGCAGCUAAGAUCUGGAAUGUUCAGGCAGAUGCUCUCUAGGUUUGUUGGACUGGUGAAAAGGGUGUUCUGAAGAGACUUUGCUCCCUUCUUCCUUCCUGAUUAGAGCAACAGAGUUAAAAAAUGAUUAUCUUUAUUGCAUGUUGCAAGGCAUAUCUAUUUUCUGAAGAUGUAGUUUGAAUAGUGGAUGAGAUUUUUUUUUUUCCCCUAUGGAAGAUAGAGGUGGAGGAGAGAUUCCUUAUUGUUAAUUGAUGUUAGUUCAGGGUACAGUAUGUGAUUUUAUAGUUCUUGUACCUGGGCCUAGAAACCAAUAUAUAGUACUCACACUUUAUAAACCAAAAUAUGCUGUCUCUUGUAUGGUUAAAAAUAAAUAACAAAAAAUUAUCAAGAGCCUUUCCAGCCAAAGAGGACCUUUUUCCCUCAAAGCAGAAUGUGAAUUGUAAACAUUUCAAAGUCAAAGGUUGUAACUGUUAUCCUGGCUUGAUUCUUGAAUAAAGUGUUAAAACUCCAA